CCUCGAUUAUCGAGAAAGACAUAGUGGUUAUGACGUUGGCUUGAAACCAGUGGGAGAGGGUUCGAUUCCUUCCUUUCUUA
RNAcentral lists this transfer RNA (80 nucleotides) under Sus scrofa (pig). RNAcentral's name for it is "tRNA-Ser". The stretch from base 12 to 80 matches the Rfam family "tRNA". Rfam says of the family: Transfer RNA (tRNA) molecules are approximately 80 nucleotides in length. Their secondary structure includes four short double-helical elements and three loops (D, anti-codon, and T loops). The record is from RNAcentral. Lineage: Eukaryota; Metazoa; Chordata; Mammalia; Artiodactyla; Suidae.